CUUCAGUCCAUGGAAAAAUCUCUCUCUCCACGGAACCGGUUGCUGGCGCUCCAAAGGUUGGGGGGCCGCUGCCCCAGGCUGGCUGG
This is a non-coding RNA of Notechis scutatus (mainland tiger snake), 86 nucleotides long. The record is from RefSeq and is a predicted model, not a curated record. Lineage: Eukaryota; Metazoa; Chordata; Lepidosauria; Squamata; Elapidae.